UCGGAUUGCAGUCUGCAACUCGACUGCAUGAAGCUGGAAUCGCUAGUAAUCGCGAAUCAGCAUGUCGCGGUGAAUACGUUCCCGGGUCUUGUACACACCGCCCGUCACACCAUGGGAGUCGGAAAUGCCCGAAGCCAGUGACCCAACCUUUAAGGGAGGGAGCUGUCGAAGGCAGGUCUGGUAACUGGGGUGAAGUCGUAACAAGGUAGC
Molecule: ribosomal RNA, 210 nt
Filed under: uncultured bacterium
Lineage: Bacteria
Description: partial 16S ribosomal RNA
Rfam family: Bacterial small subunit ribosomal RNA
Source: RNAcentral